This 450-nucleotide ribosomal RNA is filed under the name uncultured bacterium. Its description in RNAcentral is "partial 16S ribosomal RNA". It matches the Rfam family "Bacterial small subunit ribosomal RNA", at positions 354 to 796 of the family's 1533-position model. The record is from RNAcentral.
GUGGGGAAUCUUCCACAAUGGACGAAAGUCUGAUGGAGCAACGCCGCGUGAGUGAAGAAGGGUUUCGGCUCGUAAAGCUCUGUUGUCGGGGACGAAUGUGCAGUAUUUGAAUAAAGUACUGCAAUGACGGUACCUGACGAGGAAGCCACGGCUAACUACGUGCCAGCAGCCGCGGUAAUACGUAGGUGGCAAGCGUUGUCCGGAAUUAUUGGGCGUAAAGGGAGCGCAGGCGGGAAGGUAAGUCGGUCUUAAAAGUUCGGGGCUCAACCCCGUGAUGGGAUCGAAACUAUCUUUCUUGAGUGCAGGAGAGGAAAGUGGAAUUACUAGUGUAGCGGUGAAAUGCGUAGAUAUUAGGAGGAACACCAGUGGCGAAGGCGACUUUCUGGACUGUAACUGACGCUGAGGCUCGAAAGCCAGGGGAGCGAACGGGAUUAGAUACCCUAGUAGUCC